This 75-nucleotide transfer RNA is filed under the name Sphaerodactylus townsendi. Its description in RNAcentral is "tRNA-Ala". Lineage: Eukaryota; Metazoa; Chordata; Lepidosauria; Squamata; Sphaerodactylidae. The record is from RNAcentral.
GGAAAGACCACAGUUCAGUGGAAGAGCAUCUACUUGGCAUGCAUAAAAUCCCAGGUUCAAUCCCUGGCAUUUCCA